RNAcentral lists this long non-coding RNA (533 nucleotides) under Monodelphis domestica (gray short-tailed opossum). RNAcentral describes it as "lncRNA (ENSMODG00000031969.2)". Lineage: Eukaryota; Metazoa; Chordata; Mammalia; Didelphimorphia; Didelphidae. The record is from RNAcentral.
CAGUAAGGGCACAACAACUACCAUGAUACACCUCUUCCUCUUGGACAGUGUAAGAGAAUUCCUCCAGCCAGCAUGAUGUGGUUCUUCAGAAUGUCUGGAAUCACUCUUCAUGAAAAUUCUCAUAUGUGUCAUCCAGCCACAAGGACCUGUUCAUUCAUGGCUGCUUGCAUUUUGACUUUCCCAUUAGAUGGUGAGUAUCUGAGGGCAAGAUUUUUCUUUGGCCCUUCUUUUUUUUACCUCAGUGCUUAAUACAGUGCCUGGACCAUUGUAUGUGCCUACUAAGUGUUUACUGGGUGACUGACUGACUGACCUUCUGUUUAGCCAUUUCUCCCCCAUUUUAUGCCUGUGUGAUUGAUUUUUUAAACCCUUACUUCCUGUCUUAGAAUCAAUAUUAAAGGUUGAUUCUAAGACAGGAGAGUGGUAAGGGCUAGGCAAUUGGGUCAAGUGACUUGCACAGGGUCACAGAGGUAGAAAGUAUCUGAGGUAAGAUUUGAACCCAGGACUUCCUAUCCCUAGAACCACUUCACUGACCU